RNAcentral lists this long non-coding RNA (843 nucleotides) under Homo sapiens (human). Its description in RNAcentral is "HSALNT0350579". The record is from RNAcentral. Lineage: Eukaryota; Metazoa; Chordata; Mammalia; Primates; Hominidae.
UUCUAGGGUCUGUCUGUGUUGUGGGGACAGCAGGUGUGCGUGUGUGCCUGUGUUUGUGGGAGACAGUGGCCCUGUUUGACCAGUGGACACCCCCACAGAAGACGUAAACAUAAGACCUGAAGCUGUAAAACUCCUAGAGGGAAACAGGGGAAAUGCUGUUUGACAUGGGUCUUGGCAAUGAUUUUUUGGAUAUGAAGCCAAAAGCACAGGCGAAAAAGCAAAAAUAGACAAGUGGGACUACACCAAACUCAAAAGCUUCUGCACAGCAAAGGAAACAACAAAAUGAAAAGGCAGCCUACGGAAUGGGAGGGAAUAUUUGCAAACCCUCUCUCUGAUAAGGGGUUAACAUCCAAGAUAUAUAAGGAACUGCUGUCACUCAAUAGCAGAAAACCAAAUCAGCCAAUUAAAAAGUGGGCAAUGGAUUUGAAUCGACAUUUAUCCAAAGAAGACAAAUAAUCAGCCGGUAUAUAAAAAGGCACCCGACAUCACUUAUCACCAGGACAUGCAAAUCAAAGCCACAGUGAGACCGACUUGCACCUGUUAGGAUGGCUGGCAUCAAAAAGACAAGAUGGCAAGUGUUGGCCGGGGUGUGGAGAAAGGGAGCCCUUGUACCCUGUUGGUGGGAAUGUAAAAUGGUGCAACCAGUAUAGGAAACAGCAUGGAGGUUCCUCGGAAAACUAAAGAUAGAUCUGCCAUCUGAUCCAGCAAUCCCUCUACUGGGUUACAGCCAAAGGAAAUGGCACCAGGAUCUUGAAGAUAGAGCUGUACUCCCAUGAUCGCUGUGGCUUUGUUGAGGAUAGCCAAGAUACGGAAACGCCCGAAGUGUCUGUGGUCAGAUGAAUG